AUGAACAUCUUGGCCUGGAACUGUCGAGGACUGGGGUUGGACUCGACAGUGGGCGAACUUCGAGACCUGAUACGGUCCUACAACCUAGCGGUGGUGUUCUUAUGUGAAACAAAGAAGAAGUCGAGGGCGAUGGACAGACUUAAAUGGAGUUUGGGGUUUACUAACGGAGUUGCGGUGGACUGCGUGGGGUGCAGUGGGGGUCUAGCACUAUGGUGGAGAGAUCAAGUCCAAGUAACGAUC
This 240-nucleotide ribosomal RNA is filed under the name Triticum aestivum (bread wheat). RNAcentral's name for it is "partial small subunit ribosomal RNA". The record is from RNAcentral. Lineage: Eukaryota; Viridiplantae; Streptophyta; Magnoliopsida; Poales; Poaceae.